RNAcentral lists this ribosomal RNA (1218 nucleotides) under Staphylococcus aureus. RNAcentral describes it as "bacterial SSU rRNA". It matches the Rfam family "Bacterial small subunit ribosomal RNA", at positions 127 to 1331 of the family's 1533-position model. The record is from RNAcentral. Lineage: Bacteria; Bacillati; Bacillota; Bacilli; Caryophanales; Staphylococcaceae.
UACCUAUGAGACUGGGAUAACUUCGGGAAACCGGAGCUAAUACCGGAUAAUAUUUUGAACCGCAUGGUUCAAAAGUGAAAGACGGUCUUGCUGUCACUUAUAGAUGGAUCCGCGCUGCAUUAGCUAGUUGGUAAGGUAACGGCUUACCAAGGCAACGAUGCAUAGCCGACCUGAGAGGGUGAUCGGCCACACUGGAACUGAGACACGGUCCAGACUCCUACGGGAGGCAGCAGUAGGGAAUCUUCCGCAAUGGGCGAAAGCCUGACGGAGCAACGCCGCGUGAGUGAUGAAGGUCUUCGGAUCGUAAAACUCUGUUAUUAGGGAAGAACAUAUGUGUAAGUAACUGUGCACAUCUUGACGGUACCUAAUCAGAAAGCCACGGCUAACUACGUGCCAGCAGCCGCGGUAAUACGUAGGUGGCAAGCGUUAUCCGGAAUUAUUGGGCGUAAAGCGCGCGUAGGCGGUUUUUUAAGUCUGAUGUGAAAGCCCACGGCUCAACCGUGGAGGGUCAUUGGAAACUGGAAAACUUGAGUGCAGAAGAGGAAAGUGGAAUUCCAUGUGUAGCGGUGAAAUGCGCAGAGAUAUGGAGGAACACCAGUGGCGAAGGCGACUUUCUGGUCUGUAACUGACGCUGAUGUGCGAAAGCGUGGGGAUCAAACAGGAUUAGAUACCCUGGUAGUCCACGCCGUAAACGAUGAGUGCUAAGUGUUAGGGGGUUUCCGCCCCUUAGUGCUGCAGCUAACGCAUUAAGCACUCCGCCUGGGGAGUACGACCGCAAGGUUGAAACUCAAAGGAAUUGACGGGGACCCGCACAAGCGGUGGAGCAUGUGGUUUAAUUCGAAGCAACGCGAAGAACCUUACCAAAUCUUGACAUCCUUUGACAACUCUAGAGAUAGAGCCUUCCCCUUCGGGGGACAAAGUGACAGGUGGUGCAUGGUUGUCGUCAGCUCGUGUCGUGAGAUGUUGGGUUAAGUCCCGCAACGAGCGCAACCCUUAAGCUUAGUUGCCAUCAUUAAGUUGGGCACUCUAAGUUGACUGCCGGUGACAAACCGGAGGAAGGUGGGGAUGACGUCAAAUCAUCAUGCCCCUUAUGAUUUGGGCUACACACGUGCUACAAUGGACAAUACAAAGGGCAGCGAAACCGCGAGGUCAAGCAAAUCCCAUAAAGUUGUUCUCAGUUCGGAUUGUAGUCUGCAACUCGACUACAUGAAGCUGGAA